This 400-nucleotide ribosomal RNA is filed under the name uncultured bacterium. Its description in RNAcentral is "bacterial SSU rRNA". It matches the Rfam family "Bacterial small subunit ribosomal RNA", at positions 355 to 772 of the family's 1533-position model. The record is from RNAcentral.
UGAGGAAUAUUGGGCAAUGGGGGAAACCCUGACCCAGCCAUGCCGCGUGAAUGAUGAAGGCCUUAGGGUUGUAAAGUUCUUUCGCCGAUGAAGAUAAUGACGGUAGUCGGAGAAGAAGCCCCGGCUAACUUCGUGCCAGCAGCCGCGGUAAUACGAAGGGGGCUAGCGUUGUUCGGAAUCACUGGGCGUAAAGCGCGCGUAGGCGGAAUGGUAAGUCAGAUGUGAAAUCCCGGGGCCUAACCUCGGAACUGCAUUUGAAACUAUCAUUCUAGAGACUCGGAGGGGGUAGCGGAAUUCCAAAUGUAGGGGUGAAAUCCGUAGAUAUUUGGAGGAACACCGGUGGCGAAGGCGGCUACCUGGACGAGUACUGACGCUGAGGCGCGAAAGCGUGGGGAGCAAA